Molecule: unclassified non-coding RNA, 343 nt
Filed under: soil metagenome
Description: partial contains 5.8S ribosomal RNA, internal transcribed spacer 2, and large subunit ribosomal RNA
Rfam family: 5.8S ribosomal RNA (bases 1-120)
Source: RNAcentral
GAUGAAGAACGUAGCGAAAUGCGAUAAGUAGUGUGAAUUGCAGAAUUUAGUGAAUCAUCGAAUCUUUGAACGCACAUUGCGCCCGCCAGCAUUCUGGCGGGCAUGCCUGUUCGAGCGUCAUUUCAACCCUCGAGCCCCCCCGGGGGCCUCGGUGUUGGGGGACGGCACACCAGCCGCCCCCGAAAUGCAGUGGCGACCCCGCCGCAGCCUCCCCUGCGUAGUAGCACACACCUCGCACCGGAGCGCGGAGGCGGUCACGCCGUAAAACGCCCAACUUUCUUAGAGUUGACCUCGGAUCAGGUAGGAAUACCCGCUGAACUUAAGCAUAUCAAUAAGCGGAGGA